GACGAACGCUGGCGGCGUGCUUAACACAUGCAAGUCGAACGGAAAGGCCCUGCUUUUGUGGGGUGCUCGAGUGGCGAACGGGUGAGUAACACGUGAGUAACCUGCCCUUGACUUUGGGAUAACUUCAGGAAACUGGGGCUAAUACCGGAUAGGAGCUCCUGCUGCAUGGGGGGGGUGGGAAAGUUUCGGUGGUUGGGGAUGGACUCGCGGUUUAUCAGCUUGUUGGUGGGGUAGUGGCUUACCAAGGCUUUGACGGGUAGCCGGCCUGAGAGGGUGACCGGCCACAUUGGGACUGAGAUACGGCCCAGACUCCUACGGGAGGCAGCAGUGGGGAAUAUUGCACAAUGGGCGGAAGCCUGAUGCAGCAACGCCGCGUGCGGGAUGACGGCCUUCGGGUUGUAAACCGCUUUCGCCUGUGACGAAGCGUGAGUGACGGUAAUGGGUAAAGAAGCACCGGCUAACUACGUG
Molecule: ribosomal RNA, 468 nt
Filed under: uncultured bacterium
Lineage: Bacteria
Description: partial 16S ribosomal RNA
Rfam family: Bacterial small subunit ribosomal RNA
Source: RNAcentral